UGUUUAUCCGCCUGAAAGAC
Molecule: unclassified non-coding RNA, 20 nt
Filed under: Cloning vector pMM21
Description: gRNA variable region
Source: RNAcentral